Corapipo altera (White-ruffed manakin) is the source of this 6958-nucleotide RNA transcript. It is a transcript of the gene named RB1 inducible coiled-coil 1, with no coding region annotated. Lineage: Eukaryota; Metazoa; Chordata; Aves; Passeriformes; Pipridae. The record is from RefSeq and is a predicted model, not a curated record. The transcript is spliced from 23 exons.
CCUGCUGUCUUUAUCGUAUCAAGAUCUUCUCUGGCUUUGAACAACCAUGCUACUCUGUUGCCAAAAAUCAAGUAAAGCGAAUGUGUGCAGUUACUCUCCUCUUGAAUUUGAAGAAGGUGGUAACUUUGUAUAGUGCCUGGAGUUUCUAAAUGAUUUUAUCAGUGGAAGUUAUAAACUUCAGAGACCUAAAGAAAUCAUCAUGAAGCUAUAUGUAUUUUUGGUCAACACUGGAACUACCCUUACGUUUGAUACUGAACUUGCUGUGCAAAAUGUGGCUGAUCUGAAACAUGCAAUUCAAACAAAGUAUAAGAUUGCCAUUCAGCACCAAGUGCUAGUAGUCAAUGGAGGAGAGUGUAUGGCACCAGACAGAAGAGUGUGUAGUUACAGUGCUGGAACAGACACCAAUCCAAUUUUUUUAUUCAACAAAGAAAUGAUCCUGUGUGAACGUCCACCAGCUAUCCCCAAAACUACGUUUUCAGCAGAGAAUGAGAUGGAAUUGAAAGUAGAAGAAUCUCUUAUGAUGCCUGCAGUGUUUCAUACGGUAGCAUCACGAACACAACUUGCUGUGGAAAUGUAUGAGGUUGCCAAGAAACUUUGCUCCUUUUGUGAAGGUCUUGUACACGAUGAACAUCUUCAGCAUCAGGGCUGGGCUGCCAUAAUGGCCAACUUGGAAGAUUGUACAUACUCUUACCAAAAGCUGCUUUUCAAGUUUGAAAAUGUGUAUUCAAGCUAUUUGCAGUCCAUAGAUGAUAUCAAGUUGAAACUUACACAGUUGGGUUCUGCUGUUUCUAUCAUGGCCAAGAUUCCACUGUUGGAGUGCCUAACAAGACAUAGUUACAGAGAGUGUUUAGGAAGACUGGAUUCUUCAGCUGAGCAUGGAGGAACAGAAAGUGACGAAACUGAGGAUGGGAAAUCUGCUGAAUUGGUGCUUUAUCCUGAUGCAUCUAAAGUGAACAAUAAAUCAAUGUUAGCAUCAUUUUGCAAGUCAGUUGAACAUUCAGCAUUGGAAGGCACAGACCCUGAAAAUGUAAAAGAUGAUAAGGAAUGUGGUCAAAAUGCUACUGUCCAGGACAGCGAAACAUCAGUAGAAUUGAAAGAUGAUGAUCAACCUUCCUUCAAUGUGUCUUUGUUAGACUGGAUAAAUGUUCAAGAUAGACCUAAUGAUGUUGAAUCCCUGGUCAGAAAAUGUUUUGAUUCUAUGAGCAGGCUUGAUCCAAGGAUCAUCCAGCCCUUUCUGGCAGAAUGUCGCCAAACUAUCGCCAAACUAGAUAAUCAGAACAUGAAGGCUAUUAAAGGUCUUGAGGAUAGACUCUAUGCAUUGGACCAGAUGAUAGCAAGCUGCAGCAGACUGGUGAAUGAACAAAAAGAACUUGCUCAGGGAUUUUUGGCUAAUCAGAAGAGAGCUGAGAACUUGAAAGAUCCUUCUGUGCUGCCUGAUUUGUGUUUGAGUCAUGCAAAUCAGCUGAUGAUUAUGUUAACUAAUCACAGAAAACUGUUAGAUAUUAAACAGAAAUGUACCACUGCCAAACAAGAGCUUGCAAAUAAUUUGCAAGUCAGACUGAAGUGGUGUUGUUUUGUAAUGCUUCAUGCUGACCAAGAUGGAGAGAAACUACAAGCACUACUUCGUCUUGUAACAGAACUCCUAGAAAGGGUCAAAGUUGUAGAGGCUCUCAGUACUGUUCCUCAGAUGUACUGUCUAGCUGUUGUUGAGGUUGUGAGGAGAAAAAUGUUCAUAAAACACUACAGGGAGUGGGCAGGUGCUUUAAUAAAAGAUGGUAAACACCUAUAUGAAGCUGAAAAGGCAAAAAGGGAAUCUUUCGGUAAACUGUUCAGGAAGUCUUUUCUAAGGAAUCGUUUGUUUAGAGGACUUGACUCCUGGCCUCCAUCCUUUUGUACACGAAAACCUCGCAGAUUUGACAGUGAGCUUCCAGAUAUCUCAUUGAGUGACUUGCAGUUUUUACAGUCUCUUUGUCCUUCAGAAGUACAACCAUUACUCAGGGUUCCCAUACUUUGUGACUUCGAAUCUCUUCACCAGCAUGUACGUGCUCUACAUAACCUGGUAAAGGCAGCACAGAGUUCAGAUGAAAUGUCACAAACGAUUACAGACCUGCUGAAUGAACAAAAGGCCUCCAAUAGCCAAGCUUCGCCACAAUCUGCUACCACACCAAGGAUGGAAAGUACAACAGGAACCGCAAUUGCUACCUCUUCAAGAACUCCUCCGUCACUCAGUCUUCAGGGUCCCCUGUGUCCUUCUGUGUGUCCCCCGGCUCCAUUAGAAGAAUUGUCUCCAGACAGCAUUGAUGCUCAUACAUUUGAUUUUGAAACUAUUGCCCAUCCGCACUUGGAGCAAGCUCUUAAGCAAGGAUCAUUAGACUUGGAUUCAUUAGCAGAAAGUCCAGAAUCUGACUUUAUGUCAGCAGUAAAUGAAUUUGUAAUAGAGGAAAAUCCGGUAUCUCCUAAUGUAAUAAGUGACCCACAAAGUCCAGAAAUGAUGGUGGAAUCUCUUUAUUCCUCAGUUAUCAAUGCAAUAGACAGUAGACGUAUGCAAGAUACAAGUUCUUGUGUAAAGGAUGUUUCAGUAGAAAAUGCUUCUCUCAAUGUUUGUGUGGAGAAGUGUCGGGUUAUUGCCCAAGACUCCAAGGUACAUUUAAGAGGCAUAAAAGAAGAUCUUUGCCACUUUAGAACACUUGUACAAAGAGAACAGUGUGACUUUUCUAAUUCUUUAAAAUGCACUUCCUUAGAAAUAGUAAAUACAAUUGAGAAGGUAAAACUUUCACUUGAAAAAACACUAAAUGAUAAGCAUCAAAAUGAACUACAGUCUUUGAAAAGUGAAUAUGAAACUAAAAUUAAUAAAUUAUUGGAGGAUGGUGAAGAAAAUAAAAAGAAGAUUAAAAAAUUAAAAGGUGACUUAUUAGGCCUUGAGGAAGUUCUUCAGAAUAAGAAUGAUGAAUUUGCAAUGGUAAAAAAUGAAAAAGAAGCUGUAGUUUGCCUCCAGAAUGAAAAAGACCAGAAAUUACUUGAAUUAGAAUGCCAAAUGGAGACACAGAAUUCUGAAAUUAAGGAACUGAGGCAGUCACGUGAAAUAGUACUUGAAGACUUGAAAAAGCUUCAUGUUGAAAACAAUGAAAAACUACAACUCUUGAGGGCAGAACUCGAGAGUUUAGAGCAAAGCCAUUUAAAAGAACUGGAAAGCAACCUACAAGCCAGGCAUUUACAGGAAUUUGAGAAGGUGCUAGCUGAGCACAAGGACUGUUUGGAUAAAUUAAAAAAAGAGAACCAGCAUAGACUUGAACAAAUGCAGGAAUCUCAUGAAGUAGUUAUGCAGGAGAAACAACAACAAGUAGAAGAGUUACAACUCAAGGUUUCAGAUCUGUCUGAUUUGAGGUGCAAAUUAGAAGUUGAACUUGCCCUGAAAGAGGCAGAAACUGAUGAAAUGAAGCUUCUUUUGGAAGAAAGCAGAAACCAGCAACAAGAGACCUUAAGAUCUCAGAUUGAUAAGGAAACAGAAAGCUUAAAAAAGGAGAUAGAUAAAUUAAACAAUAAAAUACAAAUUAGCAGUGAUGAAUAUCAAGUGGGCUUAUCAGAACUAAGGACUCUGAUGACAAUUGAGAAAGAUCAGUGCAUUUCUGAGCUAGUAGAUAGAUAUGAAGAAGAAUCAAAUUUACUUAGAACUGAAUUAAAUAAGGUAACACUUCUUCAUAAAAAAACUACUGAGGCAGAAAAAAGACUUUCAGAGCAAAUAACAGAACUACAGAGUAAGUUAGAGUUGGAAAUGAGUGCCCUAGAAAAGGAAAAAACAGAAAAAUUGUCUCUCUGUGAGCAGCAGGAAAAAUAUGAAGCAAUUAUCCAUAAGCUAAAAGAAGAGAAAGAACUGUUAGUAUCUAACCAAGAACAAGACAGACAGUUGCUCAUUCAGAAACUGACUUGUGAAAAAGAAGAUGCAGUACAAACUGCUUGUAAAGAGUUUGAAUUACAGAGGGAAGCUGCUGAAAAAGGGCUUUUGGAAAAAAUACAACAACUUGAGAUGCAAGUAAAUCAGAGUCCUCCUGCUGAAUCAUCUGCUGAAUCAACUUUAGUUGCUGAACUUCAAGAGAAGCUUCAGGAAGAAAAAAUGAAGUUCUUGGAGCAACUUGAAGAACAAGAGAAAAGAAAGAAUGAAGAAAUGCAGAACAUCAGAACAUCACUCACUGCAGAACAGCAGACCAACUUUAACACUGUUCUGGCAAGAGAGAAAAUGAAAAAAGAAAAUAUAAUUAAUGAUCUUAGUGACAAAUUAAAAGUGCUUACACAACAGCAAGAAAAAGAUAAGGAUUUGAUUGAAACACUUUCUGAAGACCGAGCUCGCUUGCUUGAAGAGAAGAAGAAGCUUGAAGAAGAAGUUAAUAAACUGAGAAGUAGUAAUUUUUCUCCAUCAACCUACUCGGCAGCAGCGUCAGAAGUUUGUGGAGCCUGUGCAGCUGAUGUUCCCACUGACACAGACAGAUUGGUUUCUGACUUUGGGGCUGAAGGGAGAAUGGACUCCACAAUGGAAACCAGUAUGAUGGCUGUGCAUGAAAAUGUCCAUAUGUCUGAAGAAAAGCAGAGGAUAAUGUUGUUAGAAAGAGUGAGUAGAUUGUUUGGGAGGUGAAGUGUUACAACUAAUUACUUAUAAAUAUGUGCGUGUGAAGUUGUGCUGUCACCAGUUAUAUGCUCUGAUGCAAGACACUGUCUGCAAGGAUUAUAAAUAUAAUUUCAGGGCAUGUUUUUUCACUGUACUCUUUUUGGAUCAGUAUAAUUCACUGAAGUAAUUCAAGAUAAGUAUUAGUACAUUAUUCUUGUCCUAGCUUUGUUUUAUUCUGUUUAUGUAGGCUUCAGUGUGAAUGACUCAGAUGUAAUAUUUUUUCUUAGAAGUGACAGGUGACAUUGAUCCAGAGAAUUUCUGCAGUAAAAAAAAAAGUUGUGAUUACUUUUUCAAAUUAAGACAUACAAAGCAGCUGGACAGGAAUUAGAAUUGAUUUUCUGCUUUCUCAUGGAAAUGAAUAAUUUCUCUUAGGCUGUAUUCUGGGGAAAAGAUGAGAUUAACCCCUAGUCGUUACACUACAAUAUUUCAGAUUCGAGGAAAUUUAACUGUCCAGUCAUGUCUAACUCCAUCUCAGUUGCCAUUUUAAAGUUGACUAUAAAAAACCAAAACAGCAAUAUCCUUAACUUUCAGCUUUCUAGGAUCAUUUGGACUAAAAUCUCUGACCUGACAGAGAAAACUAGUGUUUUCUGUUGAUGCACUGUGGGACUCUAUGAUGCAAGUGCCUGGAUGUUACUGGCAGAAGUGCUUACCUGCUUUAUUCUGUCAUCUGAUUAUAAAGGAUUUGUCAUGGGUAGAAGCUUUAAUGUAGUAAUAUAUUACAUUUCUUCUGCUGUUCUAUCAGUGACUUGUUUUUCCAACUAAAAGGAAAAUAUGAGUGUGGAGGUAAAUACAGCUUAGUAGUGGGUUUUGUAGCACUGGGAUAAUUGGUAGACUUCAAUUUUUUUUUUUACAUGUCUUUAUUCAAAAUAUAUUUUGAUAAUUGUUUUAGAAUUGAAAGCUGUAGUAUCGUAUAAGUAGUCAGGCUCUAGUCAUAUCAAAACUUUUUUAAAGUGUUUGUACUGUAUAAAGUGUACUAGUUAGCUCAUCAGAUGAGAUUUUCUUUCAGACUUUGCAGUUGAAAGAAGAGGAAAAUAAGAGAUUAAAUCAAAGAUUGAUGUCCCAAAGCAUGUCAUCAGUAUCCUCAAGACAUUCUGAAAAAAUAGCAAUUAGAGAUUUUCAGGUUGGCGACUUGGUUCUCAUUAUCUUGGACGAAAGGCAUGACAACUACGUGUUGUUCACUGUUAGUCCAACCUUGUAUUUCUUGCACUCAGAGUCCCUUGCUGCACUGGAUCUCAAACCAGCAUCAGGUGCAUCUCGGAGACCUUGGGUGCUAGGAAAAGUGAUGGAAAAGGAAUAUUGCCAGGCAAAAAAGGCACAAAACAGAUUUAAAGUUCCUUUGGGUACAAAAUUCUACAGAGUGAAAGCAGUACCAUGGAACAAAAAAGUAUAACACAACAAAAUUUUGGUUUCUUCUGUCUCCGUUCUUUUUUUGACUUGUCCUUCAGUGCUCAUUCAUCGCUUCAAAUACCAGGCCAUCUUUUUAUACUGAGGUCAUGAGACAAGAUACGUCAUUGAUGUACUGCUCUUACUUUUUAACAGGUGACAUUUUAGAAACAAGAAAUUCAUCAAAAACUCUGGCCCUAACUGCUUUGAUUUUUCUUUUUUUUUUUUUACCCAGAUAACUUUAAGAGUGUGGACCAAAUGAGUUCAUUUUCUCGAAGGGCAACCACCUGAAACAUGGUUUGUUAGCCAUGUUAAUUGCCUGUUAAAUAUACAUUAGCUUGUAUUUAGAUGUUAAAUGUUAGUUACCAUUAUUACCAGCAUAUGUCCUUUUGUGAAAUCAUUAUCAAAGUACUUGCACUCUUUAACAGAUUCUUUAUAUGUGUAAAAUUCAUCAACUAUUUAAAGAGGAGUGUUCAUUGCAUGCAGAUAAUCAUAUAAUUUUUCUUCAACAUGAGUUUGCCUCAGUAGAUGAAUAAAAAUAACUACUGCAGCUUGUUUCAUUACAUGAAAAUGCUCUUUAAUGUUAAAAAAACCCUUGUAAUUUGAUAGACUGAUUUUGAAAAUCAGUCACAGUUAGAUCUGCAAUCUUCAAAAGCACUUUCAAUGGAUUGAUCACACAGAUUCUGAAGGGAAGACACCUGUGCCGUUUGUUGAAAGUGAAGCACUUGUUCUUCUCAACAAAACAGAAAUCUUGUAUUAAUCUAUUUAGAAAAAUCAUAUUGAUGAAAUUGUAUUUCAUGGUUGAGUUUCAGGAAAAAACUCAUUGUACAUUAACCAUACAAGAGUCAUUUAAGUAACAAAUUAUUGUAAUUGUAAAAGACAUGUAGAAUUUUAAAACAAUAAAGAUUUGAAACC